This is a long non-coding RNA of Rhododendron vialii, 359 nucleotides long. RefSeq lists it as uncharacterized. The record is from RefSeq and is a predicted model, not a curated record. The transcript is spliced from 2 exons. NCBI's taxonomy places the organism in Eukaryota, Viridiplantae, Streptophyta, Magnoliopsida, Ericales, Ericaceae.
GGAGGUCAAGGAAUUUCACAUAAAAAAAACUUAUGGAUAUCAAUUACCUUGACAUAUCAUCGUAAAGAGCUCGCUUGCGGAGCAGGUAUGAGACACAUGGACCACUGGAAGAGAGGGAGGGGUUACAGGGAGUGUCGGCUUUAAUGGUGUUGGUGAGAUCGGUGUGCCAGAAGUUGCGGUAGUUCUGGCGGAGCUGCAUCUUCUCCAUGUGCUGCUGCGACGCCAUCGACAUCUUUCUUCGCUCGGGCCUCAAUUCAGAAGAAACCUAGCGCUUCGGUAUUUGAAGAAGAAAGACGACGACGACGACGAUGUAGAAGAUGAGAAGUCGAUGCCGGUUCAAGCCAGUUGUAACGAGUCUU